This is a long non-coding RNA of Triticum aestivum (bread wheat), 2750 nucleotides long. RefSeq lists it as uncharacterized. The transcript has 5 exons. Lineage: Eukaryota; Viridiplantae; Streptophyta; Magnoliopsida; Poales; Poaceae. The record is from RefSeq and is a predicted model, not a curated record.
AUUCGACGCUCCCAUCUGAUCCGUGGCCCAGGAUUUUAGCUUUCCGUUUGGUGGGCUCGGGCAUGAGAAUGCGUGGUCUAGCUUUCUUCCCCAUAGCGGUGCUCUUAUUUGGAAGCUAGCGGCUGGAGAAUCGGGAGGAGGAGCACCGGCGGCGACCAUUCAUGGAGUUCCUGAUGCAGCCUAUGCAUGAGAGGUGGGAGAAAGCUUGGUACCGCCGCCAGUGGCGGCGGUGGCGCCUGUGCUGCUGGAGGCGGAUGUGGUACAUGCGGCGGUGCAGCAGCUAGUGGUGGAGCAGGGCGUUCUGGGGUAUGUCCGCUCGGCCGUCAGUGGCGAUGCCCAGAUUGUGUCAGCCAAGCCGUCGGCGGCAGUCAGGAUGGAUAGCUCGCCACAGUCGUCGGAGUUGUCUACUGAGAAGAUGAAUCCUCGGGUGCCUGGAUGGAAUAAGAGGUUGAGGAUUGGAGCUGCUGUACCAACAGGCCGCCUUGUCCAAACCGGAUCAGUGCAUUCGAGAAGGUUGUGCGGAGUUUUGCUAAGAACCCGACUGACAAUGUUAUCACAACAGUUAUUGGCACAACAUUCGACUCGGUUUGUGAGGUGUAUGACUUCUACAAUUUGUACUCGUGGGAGAAGGGCUUUGGCAUUCGUUACGGGAAGAGCAGGCUAAAUGUGGAGAUGACCAAAGCAUGCAGGAAAUAGUUUGUGGUUGCUCGGUGGAUGUUUUUUUUGUUACUUAUUUUUAUGCUGGGACAUACAAUUCAUAUUCGUGCCCUGUGUGUGGUGUCGACAAAAUUACUGAACUCACUGGCUUUUGUUGGAAAUCAUUUUGCAGGGCAAAGCUGGUGUGGAGAACACCAGGUCUUGUCGUUGUGAGUGCCCCUCUCUAAUAAGGCUGCUACGAGCAGAGGACAACGGAUGGUACAUUGCAGAGCAGAGAGACAGUCACAACCACUUGCUGUUGCCUAAUUUCGGUGAGACAAUCCAUUGGCCCUCACACAAGCACAUAGAUGUGUACACCAGGGAUCUAGUGAAACAGUUAAGGCAAAACAAUGUGAACUUAGCAAAGGUGUACAACAUCAUUGGAGGCUUCUUUGGAUCAAUGGAAAAUGUUCCGUUCACUAAGAGGUCGUUAUGUAACCUGUGUGGGAAGAUAAACAGGACCGUGCAAAAGAUAAUGUGAAGAAGACAAUGGAUAUUUUUGCAGAGAUAGGGGCUAAAGAUCCACACUUCACAUAUAGGGUUGAGUCCGACAAUGAGUGCAGGAUUAAGAAUCUGAUGUGGGCAAGUGGGAGCAGCAGGCUUCAAUACUCAUUUUUUGGAGAUGUCAUAACAAUUAACACGACUUAUCGUACUAAUCUGUACGACAUGCCUUUGGCCUGUUUGUAGGGGUAAAUAAUCAUUUUCAGAGUGUGAUCCUGGCAGGUGUGCUCGUGCGUGAUGAAACUGAAGAUAGUUUUGAGUGGGUUUUCUUAGAAUUCCUUAGAAUGAUGGGCGGGUCUCCACCGGUGACCAUACUAACAAGUAAAUUUCUGUUAGCACAAUCGGUGAUUAUGUGCCUCCUGGUUGAACAAUGCACAUGUUUGUUUAGAAAUACAUGAGGCUCCAGUUUGACCGGGAAUCGGAGGAGAACUACGAAGAGAAAUGAACAUGAAUUGUGAGAAUUUCUUGUUGGGAAUGUCAUAUGUAAUUGAAGUCAUUGUGACAAACAUAUGAAUGCUUGUGUACUAUUUGUGCAGGGGAGGCCACUCAUGAGGGAAAACCUUGCAGUGGAAAGGCAUGCUAGCAAGAUAUAUACAAGAGCCAUGUUUGAACAGUUUGGGCAUAUAUUGUAUGAAUGUGGCACUUAUCAAGUUGAAGAGAUUGAGAGACACAAGACAUAUGUCGCAAUCCACAGCGAGGCAGAGAAGAGAGAUAAAUGGUGCAGAGUGGCAUACAAGGUUAGGAUGCUAGAUGGGGGUGAUGAAUUCGACUGAGUAUGGACAAUUUGCACAUAUGGGCUUGCUUUGCAGCCAUGUGAUGAAGCUCGUGAAACGAAGGUCACCACCUUGGCAGUGCAUACUAGGCAAGGGAUCAGCGGGAGCACCUGGCCGGCCUGGGAGGAAGAAGAUGAGCUUGCCAUUUGCCAUCUUCUCUGAUCUGAUUCUUACAAAGCGAGGAAGAAGAGGAUAAGGCAAUGGGGGAGCAGCCCGUGGAGUCUUGUAGUGGAAGGAGCUAGGUGUGGCUACGGCUGGACAACAGCCGUUUAGCAGCAAACGUCUGAGCCGUGGACCAAGAUUCGGUAUCAAACGUCUGAGCCGGCCUUGAAGGCGUGAUGGCCAUUGCAUUGACAGCGACAACUGGGUGGGCCACGACAUGGGAAAAAACAGCGGAUACAUGUCCAUAUACGGACUGACAUACCUGCAGCGGUUGGAAUCUCAGCAAAAGCUGACGGCUAUGAUAUCGAGUCCAUUUGAGCUCGAGCUCAGAAUAGGACUUUCGCUUCCAACGCUUCUUUGGAAGGUGAAGAGAAAGCUUCGUUAUUGGUCAUAAAAGGCCCUUGUGACCAGAAGCUGGUGGAUGCAUGGAUUUCCUUGUCGCCAAGAAGGGAGACUAGUUACAUUCGUACCUCCUCGUCGUCUCCUUGUUGCUAGAACUUUUCUCAUGACACCUAUUGCGAUGAUACUGUAGCUCUGACAAAUUUAAAUAUGCUUACCUUCUGCUUUUCAGCAAUCAUGUGUUAGCUCGGAUAGAUGAAGCACAUGAUGUUUUAUUCC